Molecule: ribosomal RNA, 1548 nt
Filed under: Vibrio nereis
Lineage: Bacteria; Pseudomonadati; Pseudomonadota; Gammaproteobacteria; Vibrionales; Vibrionaceae
Description: bacterial LSU rRNA
Rfam family: Bacterial large subunit ribosomal RNA
Source: RNAcentral
GUUGUAUGGUUAAGUGACUAAGCGUACACGGUGGAUGCCUUGGCAGUCAGAGGCGAUGAAGGACGUAUUAACUUGCGAUAAGCCCAGAUUAGGCAGUAAAAGCCACUUGAGUCUGGGAUUUCCGAAUGGGGAAACCCAACUGCAUAAGCAGUUAUUGUUGCGUGAAUACAUAGCGUAACAAGGCGAACCGGGGGAACUGAAACAUCUAAGUACCCCGAGGAAAAGAAAUCAACCGAGAUUCCGAAAGUAGCGGCGAGCGAAAUUGGACUAGCCCUUAAGCUUUAUAUGCGUUAGACGAACAGCCUGGAAAGGCCGGCGAUACAGGGUGAUAGCCCCGUAGUCGACAACGCACAUUCAGUGAAAUCGAGUAGGGCGGGACACGUGAUAUCCUGUCUGAAUAUGGGGGGACCAUCCUCCAAGGCUAAAUACUACUGACUGACCGAUAGUGAACCAGUACCGUGAGGGAAAGGCGAAAAGAACCCCUGUGAGGGGAGUGAAAUAGAACCUGAAACCGUGUACGUACAAGCAGUAGGAGCACCUUCGUGGUGUGACUGCGUACCUUUUGUAUAAUGGGUCAGCGACUUAUAUUCAGUGGCAAGGUUAACCAUCUAGGGGAGCCGUAGGGAAACCGAGUCUUAACUGGGCGCUCAGUCUCUGGAUAUAGACCCGAAACCAGGUGAUCUAGCCAUGGGCAGGUUGAAGAUUGAGUAACAUCAAUUGGAGGACCGAACCGACUAAUGUUGAAAAAUUAGCGGAUGACUUGUGGCUAGGGGUGAAAGGCCAAUCAAACCUGGAGAUAGCUGGUUCUCCCCGAAAGCUAUUUAGGUAGCGCCUCGGACGAAUACUACUGGGGGUAGAGCACUGUUAAGGCUAGGGGGUCAUCCCGACUUACCAACCCUUUGCAAACUCCGAAUACCAGUAAGUACUAUCCGGGAGACACACGGCGGGUGCUAACGUCCGUCGUGGAGAGGGAAACAACCCAGACCGCCAGCUAAGGUCCCAAAUUAUUACUAAGUGGGAAACGAUGUGGGAAGGCUUAGACAGCUAGGAUGUUGGCUUAGAAGCAGCCAUCAUUUAAAGAAAGCGUAAUAGCUCACUAGUCGAGUCGGCCUGCGCGGAAGAUGUAACGGGGCUAAGUAAUAAACCGAAGCUGCGGCAAUGCAGUUUACUGCAUUGGGUAGGGGAGCGUUCUGUAAGCCGUUGAAGGUGAGUUGUAAAGCUUGCUGGAGGUAUCAGAAGUGCGAAUGCUGACAUGAGUAACGAUAAAGGGGGUGAAAAACCCCCUCGCCGGAAGACCAAGGGUUCCUGUCCAACGUUAAUCGGGGCAGGGUAAGUCGACCCCUAAGGCGAGGCUGAAAAGCGUAGUCGAUGGGAAACGGGUUAAUAUUCCCGUACUUCUUACAAUUGCGAUGGGGGGACGGAGAAGGCUAGGUGGGCCUGGCGACGGUUGUCCAGGUUCAAGUGCGUAGGCUUGAGAGUUAGGUAAAUCCGGCUCUCUAUAAGGCUGAGACACGAUGUCGAGCAUCUACGGAUGUGAAGUCAUUGAUG